CUGUGAUGGAUGGUGGCAGCUCCCUGAGAGAAACUCUGACAAACACGGCUGUUUCGAGAAGCGGCUCGGCGUUUUUAAAAAAAAGUGUAUCUGAGGAAAAGAAUCCAAAAAGGAACCGUAAUGUCCUGAGCACGGAGAAGCAGAUUUGCACCGUCAGCAGCACACAGGCAACCAGUUCAACGCUGCAGAACCACAGCGGGGAUGUGAACGGAGCACCGUGUGCUGCUCCUGAGGAAUCUGUGCAUUUUUCCCCCUCGCACUAACUGGCUGCCACACAACUGCAAUGCAGAAGAUUUCCACCCACAUACACAAGUGGAAAGUGGACGGAUUCUGAGGUCAGGACUCAGAGGCAGGACGUCCGUGAAGAUUAAAGACCAAACUGAUGGCUGUAAACAUAAAUAAUGGUUUUCAAUAAUGAAGUCAGUCUGG
Long non-coding RNA from Austrofundulus limnaeus, 429 nucleotides. RefSeq lists it as uncharacterized. Lineage: Eukaryota; Metazoa; Chordata; Actinopteri; Cyprinodontiformes; Rivulidae. The record is from RefSeq and is a predicted model, not a curated record. The transcript is spliced from 3 exons.